GCGAGGGUGGCGGAACUGGUAUACGCGCUGGAUUUAGGAUCCAGUGGGGCAACCCAUGGGGGUUCGACUCCCCCCUCUCGCA
RNAcentral lists this transfer RNA (82 nucleotides) under bacterium. RNAcentral's name for it is "tRNA-Leu". It matches the Rfam family "tRNA". From Rfam's summary of the family: Transfer RNA (tRNA) molecules are approximately 80 nucleotides in length. RNAcentral also lists the same sequence under 1 other name. The record is from RNAcentral.